Molecule: ribosomal RNA, 253 nt
Filed under: uncultured bacterium
Lineage: Bacteria
Description: partial 16S ribosomal RNA
Rfam family: Bacterial small subunit ribosomal RNA
Source: RNAcentral
UACAGAGGUCUCAAGCGUUGUUCGGAUUCAUUGGGCGUAAAGGGUGUGUAGGUGGCGCCGUAAGUCGGGUGUGAAAUUUCGGAGCUUAACUCCGAAACUGCAUUCGAUACUGCGGUGCUUGAGGACUGGAGAGGAGACUGGAAUUCAUGGUGUAGCAGUGAAAUGCGUAGAGAUCAUGAGGAAGACCAGUGGCGAAGGCGGGUCUCUGGACAGUUCCGGACACUGAGACACGAAGGCCAGGGGAGCAAACGGG